GACGAACGCUGGCGGCGUGCUUAACACAUGCAAGUCGAACGAGUGGCGAACGGGUGAGUAAUACGUGAGUAACCUGCCCUCUUUUUGGGAUAAGCCUUGGAAACGGGGUCUAUUACCGGAUAACGGGGGAUGGGCUCGCGGCCUAUCAGCUUGUUGGCGGGCUGAUGGACUACCAAGGCGGUGACGGUUAGCCGGCCUGAGAGGGUGACCGGCCACAGUGGGACUGGGAGACGGACCAGACUCCUACGGGAGGCAGCAGUGGGGGAUAUUGCACAAUGGGCGAAAGCCUGAUGCAGCGACGCCGCAUGGGGGAUGAAGGCUUUCGGGUUGUAAACGUAUUUCGCUAUCGAACAGGUAGGUGGAGGAGAAGCGCCGGCUAACUACGUGCCAGCAGCCGCGGUAAUUC
RNAcentral lists this ribosomal RNA (406 nucleotides) under uncultured bacterium. RNAcentral's name for it is "partial 16S ribosomal RNA". It matches the Rfam family "Bacterial small subunit ribosomal RNA", at positions 28 to 526 of the family's 1533-position model. The record is from RNAcentral.